This 1026-nucleotide long non-coding RNA is filed under the name Homo sapiens (human). Its description in RNAcentral is "HSALNT0245793". Lineage: Eukaryota; Metazoa; Chordata; Mammalia; Primates; Hominidae. The record is from RNAcentral.
ACCAGGCACUUGUACUGAGCAAUCUGGAAGCGACGGACGCGUCUCAUCAACUCUGUGCUGCAAGAGGAGAGAGGGUCAGUAGAGAUGGGGUUUUACCACGUUGACCAGGGUGGUCUCAAACUCCUAACCUCAAGUGAUCAACGCACCUCAGCCUUCCAAAGCGCUGGGAUUAAAGGCGUGGGCCACCACACCUGGCAUACAGCUUUUCUAAAUUAAUUUCAGAAAGUCUUUGUGUGCAGCGUCAAAAGCACUUGCUUCUGGGUCCAAGAAGUCCAACUCUGAGCCACAUCUUCCUGAGCAAGGGGUUUGAGCUGAAGUGAUCCCCAGGGCCAUAAAAGAAUGUUGGGGCAGGGCAUGGUGGCUAACAUCUGUAAUCCCAGCACUUUGGGAUGCUGAAGUAGGAGGAUUGCUUGAGACCAGGAGUUCAAGACCAGCUUGGGCAACAUAGCAAGACCCCAGCUCUAUAAAAAUAAAAUAAAAUUAGCUGGGUGGAGGCGGGGGGGUGCACGCCUGUAGUCCCAGCUACUUGGGAGGCUGAGGUGAGAGAAUUGCUUGAGCCCAGGAGUUUGAGACCAGCCUGGGCAACAUAGCAAGAUCCUACCUCUAGAAGAACAAAAACAAAACAAAAAGAAUGGUGCGUGGGUAGUUUACUCAAGAAACUCACUAGCCCCACCCGGGUCAGGGAAUGGUUCUAUCACCUCAGGAGAGCAGAGGCUCCACGGCUUCAGACUCCUUGGUUUAGAAAGCGACUACGUUUCCUUGGCCUUAGAAGGAAACAGCCACAUUGAAUAGGGGUGUACAAAAAGGCCUGGCCUACAGGGGACACAACUGGUUGCCACCUUCUCAGAGGACUUGGUGGGGAAGACAGCUAAGCUGUAAGCAGCUGUCACCAGCUCCAGGAGGGAGUGGCGUCCACACAGGACGAGGGGCUUGGCCUGGGCAGAAGAGGGCAGAGACUUCCUCCUGGACUGAAUUCAAGGGAGGAGCACCCCAGGCGGGAGCUGUAGGAGGCUGUGCUGGUCCUUC